CAUCUUCUUCCUAUAUAAACCCUACUAUAAGUCUCCAGUAACCCAUCAGCCACUGCGGAUCUGAAGAAACCCUAAUUCACAUUGAAGGUGAAGUAGAGUUACAAUGGCGAUUCCUCUACUGAAAAAGAAAGUUAUCAAGGGAAGGGUGAAGCAAUUCAAGAGGCAUCAGAGUGAUAGGAGAAUCACUGUUAAGAAUGUGAUUUGUUUCACUUGCCUUGGCCCAAGUCAUGUGUGCGAGGUUUACUAAGUGGAAAUAAUUUUCAUUUAUCGGACAACUGACAAACUGGCGCAGACCAAAGGGUAUUGACUCCAGAGUUAGAAGGAAGUUCAAGGGAUGUGUCUUAAUGCCCAAUAUUGGCUAUGGUUGUGACAAGAAGACUCAGCCACUAUCUUCCCAAUGGCUUUAAGAUGUUUGUUGUGCACAAUGCAAGUGAACUUGAUAUUUUGUUGAUGCGCAACAUGUAAUGCAAGAGAGCAAAAUUUGUUUGCUUAUUCCAUCUUUGCUUCGCUUCGUGACAUCACCAUUAGCUUAUCAGGACUUACUGUGCUGAGAUUGCACAUAAUGUAUCCACAAGGAAAAGGAAAGAAAUAGUUGAGAGAGCGUCCCAGCUUGAUGUCGUAGUAACUAAUAAGCUUGCUAGGUUGCGUAGCCGUAGUAGAUCUCAGUUUUGACACCUAACAUUUUAUUAGGUGUUGUCAUACUCAUGUUUUCCCAUAUCUUAUUUCAAAAAUGGGAUAGAGAUGUAUAGGGUAUGCAAUUGUUUUACCCUAUAUACUAUGUAAAUAAAAUGAGUAGCAAUGUAAUUCUUGAUGUACAAUUGGGAUGAAUAUAAUUUUCUUCACUUGCUUGUAAGAACUUCUAAAUGAGAACUUUAUGACGAUGCUAAAA
RNA transcript from Solanum pennellii, 889 nucleotides. RefSeq lists it as uncharacterized. The transcript is spliced from 3 exons. Lineage: Eukaryota; Viridiplantae; Streptophyta; Magnoliopsida; Solanales; Solanaceae. The record is from RefSeq and is a predicted model, not a curated record.